CCUACGGGAGGCGGCAGUGGGGAAUAUUGGACAAUGGGCGAAAGCCUGAUCCAGCAAUGCCGCGUGAGUGAUGAAGGCCUUAGGGUUGUAAAGCUCUUUUACCAGGGAUGAUAAUGACAGUACCUGGAGAAUAAGCUCCGGCUAACUCCGUGCCAGCAGCCGCGGUAAUACGGAGGGAGCUAGCGUUGUUCGGAAUUACUGGGCGUAAAGCGUACGUAGGCGGUUAUUCAAGUCAGAGGUGAAAGCCCGGGGCUCAACCCCGGAACUGCCUUUGAAACUAGAUAGCUAGAAUCUUGGAGAGGUUAGUGGAAUUCCGAGUGUAGAGGUGAAAUUCGUAGAUAUUCGGAAGAACACCAGUGGCGAAGGCGACUAACUGGACAAGUAUUGACGCUGAGGUACGAAAGCGUGGGGAGCAAACAGGAUUAGAUACCCUGGUAGUCCACGCCGUAAACGAUGAUAACUAGUUGUUCGGGCACUUGGUGCCUGAGUGACGCAGCUAACGCAUUAAGUUAUCCGCCUGGGGAGUACGGUCGCAAGAUUAAAACUCAAAGGAAUUGACGG
This 561-nucleotide ribosomal RNA is filed under the name uncultured bacterium. Its description in RNAcentral is "bacterial SSU rRNA". It matches the Rfam family "Bacterial small subunit ribosomal RNA", at positions 338 to 916 of the family's 1533-position model. The record is from RNAcentral.